GAUGAACGCUGGCGGCGUGCUUAACACAUGCAAGUCGAACGAAGCACUUUAUUUGAUUUCCUUCGGGACUGAUUAUUUUGUGACUGAGUGGCGGACGGGUGAGUAACGCGUGGGUAACCUGCCUUGUACAGGGGGAUAACAGUUGGAAACGGCUGCUAAUACCGCAUAAGCGCCCAGCAUCGCAUGAUGCAGUGUGAAAAACUCCGGUGGUAUAAGAUGGACCCGCGUUGGAUUAGCUAGUUGGUGAGGUAACGGCCCACCAAGGCGACGAUCCAUAGCCGAGCUGAGAGGGUGACCGGCGACAUUGGGACUGAGACACGGCCCAAACUCCUACGGGAGGCAGCAGUGGGGAAUAUUGCACAAUGGGCGAAAGCCUGAUGCAGCGACGCCGCGUGAGCGAAGAAGUAUUUCGGUAUGUAAAGCUCUAUCAGCAGGGAAGAUAAUGACGGUACCUGACUAAGAAGCACCGGCUAAAUACGUG
Molecule: ribosomal RNA, 481 nt
Filed under: uncultured bacterium
Lineage: Bacteria
Description: partial 16S ribosomal RNA
Rfam family: Bacterial small subunit ribosomal RNA
Source: RNAcentral